UCCGUCGUGGUGUAGUGGCUAGCAUUUGAGACUCUCAUUUCCGAAUAUUCUUCGGAAUGUGAACUCUCAGAACCCGGGUUCAAUUCCCGGCGACGGAA
Non-coding RNA from Kalaharituber pfeilii, 98 nucleotides. The record is from the annotation of a GenBank genome assembly. Lineage: Eukaryota; Fungi; Ascomycota; Pezizomycetes; Pezizales; Pezizaceae.